GACGAACCGUGCGAACGUUGUUCGGAUUCACUGGGCUUAAAGGGCGCGUAGGCGGGCCAGCAUGUCCGGGGUGAAAUCUUUCGGCUUAACCGGAAAAGGGCUUCGGAAACGGCUGGUCUUGAGGGAGGUAGGGGCAGGUGGAACUUCCGGUGGAGCGGUGAAAUGCGUUGAGAUCGGAAGGAACGCCGGUGGCGAAAGCGACCUGCUGGACCUCUUCUGACGCUGAGGCGCGAAAGCCAGGGGAGCAAACGGG
RNAcentral lists this ribosomal RNA (253 nucleotides) under uncultured bacterium. RNAcentral's name for it is "partial 16S ribosomal RNA". It matches the Rfam family "Bacterial small subunit ribosomal RNA", at positions 524 to 776 of the family's 1533-position model. RNAcentral also lists the same sequence under 1 other name. The record is from RNAcentral.